CCGCCCGUCACACCAUGAGAGCUGUCUGUACCCGAAGCCAUUUUAGCUAACUCGAAAGAGAAGCGGGAUGACUAAGGUAUGGGGAGGUGAUUGGGGUG
RNAcentral lists this ribosomal RNA (98 nucleotides) under uncultured bacterium. RNAcentral's name for it is "partial 16S ribosomal RNA". The record is from RNAcentral.